RNAcentral lists this unclassified non-coding RNA (819 nucleotides) under Hevea brasiliensis (rubber tree). The record is from RNAcentral. Lineage: Eukaryota; Viridiplantae; Streptophyta; Magnoliopsida; Malpighiales; Euphorbiaceae.
GGAACUCAUUUAUGCUGACAGACUAAAAGCAAAUACCAAUUUAUUGAAAAUGGUAUUUGAAGCACUCAAUUACAUAAUAUGCAAUGAUUAUGCAAAGCACAGGACCAAGACUUGUAAUCCAAUAACUAAAAGAACCUUAAAGCAACCAACUGCAAAUAAAAAAUACAAAGGUUGUGUACAUGCUUCCCCAUAUAAUGGUAUCAUGGAUGAAAACAUUAAAAAAAAAAAUGAAAAUUCUCUGGCCAUGACUGAACCAAGGGCCCAAAACAUUAGGCCAUCACUCCUGUCUUUCAUGUAACAAAAAGUUGUGGCCAUGAUAAACAUUCUCCCGGUCCAAAAUGAUCAUACUACUGAUCAAUAGUGAUACAGCAUGUUGUGAUGCCAACAAAAACAUAGUGGGAAUUCCAAUAACUGUUCACACGAAAAAACCCAAUAAAACCAAAGCAAAGCACAAAACACCAACCUCUUACCCAAAGAUGAAUAACCAGAACAGAAAUGAUAGUUACUGUUAUGAAAAUGAAGGUAAUAGAUGAAAGAUUUUGUCAAAAACUACUCAAAAAAUCCACACAUGUUGGCCAUCAUGGAAAUUGUACACACAACCAAUUACUGUCCUUUCCAUUGCAAUAAACUCCGGAUUAGCCAAAACGAUCAAGUCUUGAAACAUUCCAAUGCAUAUGCUAAAAACAGAGCAACUCACAACAUAGAAGCACAUAAGCAGUCACAACAUUCAGGCCAUGGUAAAAAAUACAGUGACACCGGUCAAUGAAUGAAAGAGAGUCACUAAAAGAUGCACACCUUUUUUGCUCUGUCAUCUUUGUC